RNAcentral lists this ribosomal RNA (260 nucleotides) under uncultured eukaryote. RNAcentral's name for it is "partial small subunit ribosomal RNA". It matches the Rfam family "Eukaryotic small subunit ribosomal RNA", at positions 587 to 972 of the family's 1831-position model. The record is from RNAcentral.
AUCAUUGCUAGCCUUCUCUUGCGUUGUUGCAAUUAAAACGUUCGUAGCUCGAAUUAGGCCGCAAGGCCGUGUUACUAUGAGGAAAUAGUAGAGUUCAUCUCAGGUUCCGCUGUUCAGGACAGCAUAGAACGACAAGCCAGGGUUUACCUUGGACGCUCUAUAGGGCACUGGGGAGUAGGCGGUAUUAGCGGGGGACAGGUGAAAUAGGAUGAUCCCGCUAGGACCCACAGAAGCGAAGGCAGCCUACUACCAGCGUCCCG